UGCAAUGUCCUGUUUCGGGAUCCUGUCUACUCCUGAUCAUUUCAGCAGCCACAGUGCUGGCACAAGUGAUGAAGUAAGGGGAGUAUUCGAAGCAAAGCACCUAAGCCUAAUUUACGGAUGAAAUCUUCUUACGGCAUUGAGCUGUGGCUGAUAGAAACAGGUGUGGAGCUCUAUUUGCUGAUGUUUAACCUGCUGGAGGCUUCCCCCUUCACCUGUGCUCAGUGUGCCAGCUCCAUGCCAAUGGGACCUUUAGCACUUGUGGAAGGGUGGCUUUCAAGGUCUUGAAGUAAAUCAAGGUGCAGCCACUUCCUUUGUCAACAUCAUCUUUUUGAGCCACCUUUUCCCCAGCUUUCUUCAUUGCAAGCCAGGGAAGCCAGUAAUUAGUCCAGUAAUGUGGAGACAUUGUUACUGCAGCUCAUUAAAUUUGGCAAUGCUCACUUGGACCUUUGAGCGCUGGUGAUGUCAAGUUGACCUGAAAUGCAAGGAUUCCAUCUGUCGGGAAUUACUGAUG
Long non-coding RNA from Melopsittacus undulatus (budgerigar), 511 nucleotides. RefSeq lists it as uncharacterized. The transcript has 4 exons. The record is from RefSeq and is a predicted model, not a curated record. NCBI's taxonomy places the organism in Eukaryota, Metazoa, Chordata, Aves, Psittaciformes, Psittaculidae.